AGAGUUUGAUCAUGGCUCAGGAUGAACGCUGGCGGCGUGGAUAAGGCAUGCAAGUCGAGAGGGUUUAGACCCUCGGCAAACGGGUUAGUAAUACAUAGGAAUCUGCCCUGAAGUCGUGAAUAACUCGGAGAAAUCCGUGACAAUGCACGAUAGUCUCUACGGAGUAAAGAUUUAUCGCUUCAGGAGGAGCCUGUGUCCUAUCAGCUUGUUGGUAGUGUAAUGGACUACCAAGGCUAUGACGGGUAGGGGGUGUGAGAGCACGACCCCCAACAUUGGGACUGAGACACUGCCCAAACUCCUACGGGAGGCUGCAGUCGAGAAUAUUCGUCAAUGCCCGAAAGGGUGAACGAGCGACGCCGCGUGCGGGAAGAAGGCCCUUGGGUCGUAAACCGCUUUUCUUAGGGAAGAAUGUAAUGACGGUACCUAAGGAAUAAGAGGCUACUAACUCUGUGCCAGCAGUAGCGGUAAUACAGAGGCCUCAAGCGUUAUCCGGAUUUAUUGGGCGUAAAGAGCAUGUAGGCGGAUAUAUUAGUCGGAUGUCAAAUCUUCGAGCUCAACUUGAAAACUGCAUUCGAAACGGUAUAUCUAGAGACAGUCAGAGAUCAAUGGAACGUAUGGUGUAGCAGUGAAAUGCGUUGAUAUCAUACGGAACACCAAAGGCGAAGGCAUUUGGUUAGGGCUGUUCUGACGCUGAGAUGCGAAAGCGUGGGUAGCGAAUGGGAUUAGAUACCCCAGUAGUCCACGCCGUAAACGAUGCAUACUAGGUAUUAAGAGAAUCGACCCUCUUAGUGUCGUAGCUAACGCGUUAAGUAUGCCGCCUGGGAAGUACGGUCGCAAGACUAAAACUUAAAGGAAUUGACGG
RNAcentral lists this ribosomal RNA (862 nucleotides) under uncultured bacterium. RNAcentral describes it as "bacterial SSU rRNA". It matches the Rfam family "Bacterial small subunit ribosomal RNA", at positions 8 to 916 of the family's 1533-position model. The record is from RNAcentral.